AAAAAAACCCUAACCCCACAGCACUUUGAGACGAGUCAUAUAGCCCAGCUAUAUGACAAGAAAUCAUGUGACAUGUUCCAGCCGAGCAUCAGAGCCCCUGAAAGAGGUGAAGAUGAAGCAGCCGUCACUGCUGUGGCCCCAGAAAUAGCUCGGACGGAGGUGUUCAAGCUGCCACGCAGGUGAAUGCUUUCCACUCUUCUAGGACUCACUCCCCUCAAAAAAGCAGGAACCCUUACCCACCCUCGCAGCAUGCCUCUCCUGUCCGCUCCACUGCCGGCGUUUAAAGCAGCUGUUCUCAAGCUUCAACGUGUGUGUACGCAUCUCCUCGGGAUCUUGUAGUAAAAUAAAGAUUCUAAUUCAGCCGGUGUGAGCUGGGACCUGAGACCCUACAUCUCUCUCAAGCCCCCAGGUGAUCAGCGUGACUACCUGACACAGACUCCCCUGCUGUUCGGGUGAGAAGGCGCUGAAGGGAAGCAUUUACCGCUGAAGCAUCGUCACUCUUGGUAUGAAAGCGAGUCUUGCCUGCUUCCUUUGGUCGACUUCCGAAGGGGAUUUCUUGCUUCGCCAGGAUAUAUAUAUUUAAAUUACUUUCAAUUCCACAUCCCUCUCCCCACCCUGCCACGCUGUCCCUUCCAAAUGGAGCCUGAGGCUCACUGCCUUGUAUAAUUCUUCCUUUUCUACACCUGGUUAGAAGUAUAAAAUUUGUACCACCCUCCUGAUCAGAAUAAUGCAUAUAAAACUCCCUCACUGGGGGAAAAAGAGUC
Phacochoerus africanus (Common warthog) is the source of this 764-nucleotide long non-coding RNA. RefSeq lists it as uncharacterized. Lineage: Eukaryota; Metazoa; Chordata; Mammalia; Artiodactyla; Suidae. The record is from RefSeq and is a predicted model, not a curated record. The transcript has 2 exons.